Molecule: transfer RNA, 62 nt
Filed under: Diorhabda carinulata
Lineage: Eukaryota; Metazoa; Arthropoda; Insecta; Coleoptera; Chrysomelidae
Description: tRNA-Thr
Rfam family: tRNA
About the family: Transfer RNA (tRNA) molecules are approximately 80 nucleotides in length. Their secondary structure includes four short double-helical elements and three loops (D, anti-codon, and T loops). Further hydrogen bonds mediate the characteristic L-shaped molecular structure. tRNAs have two regions of fundamental functional importance: the anti-codon, which is responsible for specific mRNA codon recognition, and the 3' end, to which the tRNAs corresponding amino acid is attached (by aminoacyl-tRNA synthetases). tRNAs cope with the degeneracy of the genetic code in two manners: having more than one tRNA (with a specific anti-codon) for a particular amino acid; and 'wobble' base-pairing, i.e. permitting non-standard base-pairing at the 3rd anti-codon position.
Source: RNAcentral
GUUUUAAUAAUUUAAAUAAAAUAUUGGUCUUGUAAACCAAAAAUAAGGUUUCUUUUAAAACU